RNAcentral lists this non-coding RNA (25 nucleotides) under Rattus norvegicus (Norway rat). Lineage: Eukaryota; Metazoa; Chordata; Mammalia; Rodentia; Muridae. The record is from RNAcentral.
UAAUAACUGAGGGAUGCUGGAACAA